GAUUAUGGCUCAGGAUGAACGCUAGCGGCAGGCUUAACACAUGCAAGUCGAGGGGCAGCGUGGAGUAGCAAUACUCUGACGGCGACCGGCGAAAGGGUGAGUAACGCGUGAGCAACAUGCCCGAUACUGGAGGAUAGUCGAUGGAAACGUCGCGUAAUACUCCGUAACAUAGGGGACCGCAUGAUUCUCUAUUAAUAGAUUUAUCGGUAUCGGAUUGGCUCGCGUACCAUUAGCUAGUUGGCGGGGUAACGGCCCACCAAGGCGACGAUGGUUAGGGGUUCUGAGAGGAAGGUCCCCCACAUUGGAACUGAGACACGGUCCAGACUCCUACGGGAGGCAGCAGUGAGGAAUAUUGGACAAUGGCCGAGAGGCUGAUCCAGCCAUGCCGCGUGGCCGGGGAGGACCGGCCCUAUGGGUUGUAAACCGUCUUUUGUUGGGGAGCAAUAAGGGUCACGUGUGACCUGAUGAGAGUACCCAGCGAAUAAGCAUCGGCUAACUCCGUGCCAGCCGCCGC
This 514-nucleotide ribosomal RNA is filed under the name uncultured bacterium. Its description in RNAcentral is "bacterial SSU rRNA". It matches the Rfam family "Bacterial small subunit ribosomal RNA", at positions 15 to 518 of the family's 1533-position model. The record is from RNAcentral.